GACCCCUUCUCUUAUACACGAAUUAAGAGCUCUCUCUCCAGAAGAUCUUUCGCUAAUUUCUAUCCAGAUCACGCUAAUCUUUGUCCAGAUCAGAGCAAUCUCAAUUGCUGCGCACGCAUCUCAGAGUUCAAUCCAAGAUGGAUUUAGCGAAUCAAGGUAUGAUUUAUAAUUCAUUAAGUUAAUCAUUCCAUCAAUGGUAUCAGAGCAGAUGGAUUGGAUUCCAAAAUAAAUCAUAUCCAUUUGAUCUGUUGGGUGAGAAGAAUG
This 264-nucleotide long non-coding RNA is filed under the name Phoenix dactylifera (date palm). Its description in RNAcentral is "long non-coding RNA (PDAC_LNC004904)". Lineage: Eukaryota; Viridiplantae; Streptophyta; Magnoliopsida; Arecales; Arecaceae. The record is from RNAcentral.